This 316-nucleotide ribosomal RNA is filed under the name uncultured bacterium. Its description in RNAcentral is "bacterial SSU rRNA". It matches the Rfam family "Bacterial small subunit ribosomal RNA", at positions 28 to 334 of the family's 1533-position model. The record is from RNAcentral.
GAUGAACGCUGGCGGCGCACAUAAGACAUGCAAGUCGAACGGACUUAACUCAUUCUUUUAGAUUGAGAGCGGUUAGUGGCGGACUGGUGAGUAACACGUAAGCAACCUGCCUAUUAGAGGGGAAUAACAGUGAGAAAUCAUUGCUAAUACCGCAUAUGCUGACAGUAUCGCAUGAUACAGUUAGGAAAGGAGCAAUCCGCUAAUAGAUGGGCUUGCGUCUGAUUAGUUAGUUGGUGAGGUAACGGCCCACCAAGACGAUGAUCAGUAGCCGGACUGAGAGGUUGAACGGCCACAUUGGGACUGAGAUACGGCCCAG